UGUGCACCACCCUCUCACCCAAACGAAGGCAGCUGGCCCUGAAGUUCUCUGAGCUUGAGGACAAAAAAAGACCUCUGUGAGUUGUCAGGCUCUGUUACAGUCUGGGUCAGCAGACAAGAGUCCCAGGGCUCGGCCGUCUUCUCUAGGAGAGAAAAUAUUCGUGCCAUAUAGCGUGUUCUAAGAGUUCUCACCAGAAGCCCAGAAAGUUCUGUAUUUACUCAGCAUUCAAGGGAAAACAGACCCUGUAUUUUUGGGAUUCCUGAAAGGUGACCAGGUGAGAGCAAAGCCCAACUUCCUGGGGAAAAGCUCUCAGCGCAGUGAAUGCUACAUUCGGAGGUAGGAAGGCUCUGGAUGUGAGUCUUCAUGUUUGUUUUUUGUUUUUUGUUUUUUUUUCUCUAAAAUUACCAAAAAAGAGGAAUAUCCACAGAAGCAGAAGUAGGAAUGGGGAAGGAGGGGACAAGUUUAGACCAAGCUCUUCUGUGACCUCACUUCUGCUUUUGAAGUCCCACAGCUCUAUAAGGAUUCCUAAAACUGGACAUGGUGGCUGUAGGAGGAUGCGCCUCUUUCAGUCAUUGGAUUUCCCCUGGAAAGACAGAAUGAAUUCACAUUCUCACCUGCAGUGGGUGAGAAGUCCCUUUUCCCCCACUUCCUUGCCAAAAAUGGAUAUUAUCAUUCCUUUUCAUCUUUGCCAGUCUGGAAGUUAUGUGCAACUGAACACAAGAAUUACAGAAGAGGCCGGGCGUGGUGGCUCACGCCUGUAAUCCCAACACUUUGGGAGGCUGAGGCGGGCAGAUCACUU
This 799-nucleotide long non-coding RNA is filed under the name Homo sapiens (human). RNAcentral's name for it is "HSALNT0299250". The record is from RNAcentral. Lineage: Eukaryota; Metazoa; Chordata; Mammalia; Primates; Hominidae.